This 253-nucleotide ribosomal RNA is filed under the name uncultured bacterium. Its description in RNAcentral is "partial 16S ribosomal RNA". It matches the Rfam family "Bacterial small subunit ribosomal RNA", at positions 524 to 776 of the family's 1533-position model. The record is from RNAcentral.
UACAGAGACUGCAAGCGUUAUUCGGAUUCACUGGGCGUAAAGGGUGCGCAGGCGGCCGUGUGUGUGAGGCGUGGAAGCCCGGAGCUCAACUCCGGAAUUGCACCUCAAACUACACGGCUAGAGCAUUGGAGAGGGUAGCGGAAUUCACGGUGUAGCAGUGAAAUGCGUAGAUAUCGUGAGGAACACCAGAGGCGAAGGCGGCUACCUGGACAAUUGCUGACGCUCAGGCACGAAAGCGUGGGGAGCAAAAGGG